Small nucleolar RNA from Cucurbita pepo subsp. pepo (vegetable marrow), 98 nucleotides. RefSeq annotates it as small nucleolar RNA Z266. NCBI's taxonomy places the organism in Eukaryota, Viridiplantae, Streptophyta, Magnoliopsida, Cucurbitales, Cucurbitaceae. The record is from RefSeq and is a predicted model, not a curated record.
UCAUGGCAAGGAUGACGAUUCAAUUAGAUGUGUGAAAGGUUUAGUCCUUCCUGAACUUAAAUUUUUGAGGCAUUUAUUAUUUGUCUGACUUGCCGGAA